GAUUAACGCUGGCGGCGUGCAUACCACUUGCAAGUCGAACGAUGAAGCUUUUUUGAUUUCUUCCUAAUGAUUAAAAGUGGAUUAGUGGCGGACGGGUGAGUAACGCGUGAGUAACCUGCCUUAGAGAAGGGGAUAGCCUUUGGAAACGAAGAAUAAUACCCUAUGAAACCAUAACCUCGCAUGAGGCCUUGGUCAAAGAUUUAUCGCUCUAAGAUGGACUUGCGUCUGAUUAGUUAGUUGGUGGGGUAACGGCCUACCAAGACAGCGAUCAGUAGCCGGCUUGAGAGAGUGUACGGCCACAUUGGGGCUGAGACACGGCCCAGACUCCUACGGGAGGCAGCAGUGGGGAAUUUUGCACAAUGGGGGAAACCCUGAUGCAGCGACGCCGCGUGAUUUAGAAGGCCUUCGGGUUGUAAAAAUCUUUUCUAUGGGAAGAAAAUGACAGUACCAUAGGAAUAAGGACCGGCUAAUUACGUGCCAGCAGCCGCGGUAAUACGUAAGGUCCGAGCGUUGUCCGGAAUCAUUGGGCGUAAAGGGUACGUAGGCGGGUAAGCAAGUUAGAAGUGAAAUCCUAUAGCUCAACUAUAGUAAGCUUUUAAAACUGCUCAUCUUGAGGUAUGGAAGGGAAAGUGGAAUUCCUAGUGUAGCGGUGAAAUGCGCAGAUAUUAGGAGGAAUACCGGUGGCGAAGGCGACUUUCUGGCCAUAACCUGACGCUGAGGUACGAAAGCGUGGGUAGCAAACAGGAUUAGAUACCCUGGUAGUCCACGCCGUAAACGAUGAGUGUUAAGUGUCUGGAGUAAAUCUGGGUGCCGCAGCUAACGCAUUAAACACUCCGCCUGGGGAGUAUGCGCGCAAGCGUG
Molecule: ribosomal RNA, 861 nt
Filed under: uncultured Clostridia bacterium
Lineage: Bacteria; Bacillati; Bacillota; Clostridia
Description: bacterial SSU rRNA
Rfam family: Bacterial small subunit ribosomal RNA
Source: RNAcentral